AUCUCGAGGGUACUUGCAACUUUUGAUUGAUUUGUCCGUCCCUGGGAUACUUUCAGCCAACCUUCUGCCAAACUCCAUGUUAGGAAGUUGCUGUGUUUGGUGCUGUAACUCCUGGAAGCGCUGCAGAGACUCAUCAAUAACCUUGUGCAGCUUUCCAGUCAAGAAAUGAAAAACACGAACCUAAAAAAUUUAAAAUAAAUCUUUGAAAUGUAUCAAUCCAACAAUUAAGACUUUAAGUCUGUUCGUCCAUCUAUCACAGGAAUAUAUGUUUGUAACUCUAUAGAGAAUUGAAUAUUAUUUAUAAUUAUUGCUAUAACUACAAAAUUAAAUAGUAAUAACAGAA
This is a long non-coding RNA of Melitaea cinxia (Glanville fritillary), 343 nucleotides long. RefSeq lists it as uncharacterized. The transcript has 2 exons. Lineage: Eukaryota; Metazoa; Arthropoda; Insecta; Lepidoptera; Nymphalidae. The record is from RefSeq and is a predicted model, not a curated record.